AUUUCCUACGGGAGGAGCAGUGAGGAAUAUUGGUCAAUGGUCGGGAGACUGAACCAGCCAAGCCGCGUGAGGGAUGAAGGUACAGAGUAUCGUAAACCUCUUUUGUCAGGGAACAAAGGCGGGGACGCGUCCCCGGAUGAGUGUACCUGAAGAAAAAGCAUCGGCUAACUCCGUGCCAGCAGCCGCGGUAAUACGGAGGAUGCGGGCGUUAUCCGGAUUUAUUGGGUUUAAAGGGUGCGCAGGCGGUCUGUUAAGUCUGCGGCCAAAUCCCGGGGCUCAACCCCGGC
RNAcentral lists this ribosomal RNA (287 nucleotides) under uncultured bacterium. RNAcentral describes it as "partial 16S ribosomal RNA". It matches the Rfam family "Bacterial small subunit ribosomal RNA", at positions 334 to 619 of the family's 1533-position model. The record is from RNAcentral.